Molecule: ribosomal RNA, 254 nt
Filed under: uncultured bacterium
Lineage: Bacteria
Description: partial 16S ribosomal RNA
Rfam family: Bacterial small subunit ribosomal RNA
Source: RNAcentral
CACGUAGGGUGCGAGCGUUGUCCGGAAUUAUUGGGCGUAAAGAGCUCGUAGGCGGUCUGUCGCGUCGGGAGUGAAAUCUUACAGCUUAACUGUGAACUUGCUUUCGAUACGGGCAGACUUGAGGCAUUCAGGGGAGAACGGAAUUCCGUGGUGUAGCGGUGAAAUGCGCAGAUAUCAGGAGGAACACCGGUGGCGAAGGCGGUUCUCUGGGAAUGUCCUGACGCUGAGGAGCGAAAGUGUGGGGAGCGAACAGG